GAAGAAGAAUGAGUAGAAGGUGAAGGAGGAGGUGAAGAAUGAGGAGGUGAAGAAUGAGGAGGUGGAGGAGGAGGAGGUGGAGAAAGAAUAACAACGCGGUCAAGAACAUAAAUAAAAAAAAAAUGAUGAAGAAGAAGAAGAAUGAGUAGAAGGUGAAGGAGGAGGUGAAGAAUGAGGAAGAGGAGGUUAUACAAUAGAUUAGGUCAUUCAGUAGAUUAGGUCAUACUUAGAUUAGGUCAUAUACUUAACCUAGGUCAUUCAACUGCUUAGGUCAUACUUAGCUUAGGUCACCCAGUAGAUUAGGUCACUUACAUUAGGUCAUUCAGUAGAUUAGGUCAUACUUAGAUUAGUUCAUAUACUUAACCUAGGUCAUUCAGCAGCUUAGGUCAUACUUAGCUUAGGUCACCCAAUAGAUUAUGUCACUUACUUACAUUAGGUCAUUCAGUAGAUUAGGUCAUAUACUUAACCUAGGUCAUUCAACAGCUUAGGUCAUACUUAGCUUAGGUCACUUACAUUAGGUCAUUCAGUAGAUUAGGUCAUACUUAGAUUAGGUCAUAUACUUAACCUAGGUCAUUCAGCAGCUUAGGUCAUACUUAGCUUAGGUCACCCAAUAGAUUAGGUCACUUACUUGCAUUAGGUCAUUUACAGAUUAGGUCAUUCAAUAGCUUAGGAGGAGGUGAAGAUGAAGAAUAGGAAUGAGGAGGAGGAGGAAGGAGGAGGAGGAGAUGAAGUGACGCGUGCCAAACUAAUCUGUACUCCACCCUCGUAUCUGUGCCCCGCCCCCCCCCACCUCAUCUCCCUUCACCUCACCCCCCUUCACCCCUCACCUCACCCCCCUUCACCUAACCUCUUUACCUCACCCCUUCCUUUCCUUACCUCACUUUCCCUCUAACCUAACCUUACCCUACCUUACCUAACUUACCUAACCUUACCUCUUCUAACCUAACCUAACUUACCUCACCUUACCUAACCUUACCUAACUUUACCUUACCUUACCUCACAUAACCUUAUUUACCUAACCUAACCUUACCUUACUUAACUUAACCUUACCUUACCUUACCUUACUUAACCUUACCUAACCUAACUUAACCUCACAUAACCUUACCUUACCUAACCUAACCUUACCUUACUUUACCUUACGAUAUCUUACCUUACCUUAUCUCACCUUACCUAACCUAAUCUUACCUUACCUUACCUUACCUAACUUAACUUAUCCUUACCUAACCUUACUUUACCUAACCUCACCUAACCUAACCUUAACCUUACCUCACCUUACCUAACCUUACCUUACCUAACCUAACCUAACCUUAACCU
Long non-coding RNA from Eriocheir sinensis (Chinese mitten crab), 1314 nucleotides. RefSeq lists it as uncharacterized. The transcript has 3 exons. Lineage: Eukaryota; Metazoa; Arthropoda; Malacostraca; Decapoda; Varunidae. The record is from RefSeq and is a predicted model, not a curated record.